RNAcentral lists this ribosomal RNA (465 nucleotides) under Vreelandella stevensii. Its description in RNAcentral is "partial 16S ribosomal RNA". It matches the Rfam family "Bacterial small subunit ribosomal RNA", at positions 338 to 795 of the family's 1533-position model. Lineage: Bacteria; Pseudomonadati; Pseudomonadota; Gammaproteobacteria; Oceanospirillales; Halomonadaceae. The record is from RNAcentral.
CCUACGGGUGGCAGCAGUGGGGAAUAUUGGACAAUGGGCGAAAGCCUGAUCCAGCCAUGCCGCGUGUGUGAAGAAGGCCUUCGGGUUGUAAAGCACUUUCAGUGGGGAAGAAAGCCUUGGGGCUAAUACCCUCGAGGAAGGACAUCACCCACAGAAGAAGCACCGGCUAACUCCGUGCCAGCAGCCGCGGUAAUACGGAGGGUGCGAGCGUUAAUCGGAAUUACUGGGCGUAAAGCGCGCGUAGGCGGUCUGAUAAGCCGGUUGUGAAAGCCCCGGGCUCAACCUGGGAACGGCAUCCGGAACUGUCAGGCUAGAGUGCAGGAGAGGAAGGGAGAAUUCCCGGUGUAGCGGUGAAAUGCGUAGAGAUCGGGAGGAAUACCAGUGGCGAAGGCGGCCUUCUGGACUGACACUGACGCUGAGGUGCGAAAGCGUGGGUAGCAAACAGGAUUAGAUACCCGGGUAGUC